AACGAACGCUGGCGGCGUGCCUAAUACAUGCAAGUAGAACGCUGACGCGAGGAGCUUGCUCUCCUUGGAUGAGUUGCGAACGGGUGAGUAACGCGUAGGUAACAUGCCUUGUAGCGGGGGGUGAUUAUUGGAAACGAUAUCUAAUACCGCAUAACAAUGGAUGCCACAUUUCAUUUAUUUGAAAGGGGCAAUUGCUCCACUACAAGAUGGACCUGAGUUGGAUUAGCUAGGAGGUGAGGUAAUGGCCCACGCAGGCGUCGAUACGUAGCCGACCUGAGAGGGAGAUCUGCCAAACUGGGACGGGGACACGGGCCAGAACCCUACGGGGGGGAGCAGGAGGGGAUCUUCGGCAAAGGGGGCAAACCUGACUGAGGAACGCCGGGUGAGUGAAAGAGGUUGUCGGGGCGGAAAAGUCUGUUUGAAGUCAAGAACGGGUAGGAGGGUGAAAAGUUCACACUAUGACGGUAGCUUAAGAAUAAGCAACGGCUAACUACGUG
This 497-nucleotide ribosomal RNA is filed under the name uncultured bacterium. RNAcentral describes it as "partial 16S ribosomal RNA". It matches the Rfam family "Bacterial small subunit ribosomal RNA", at positions 29 to 507 of the family's 1533-position model. The record is from RNAcentral.